CCAGACUCCUACGGGAGGCAGCAGUGGGGAAUAUUGCGCAAUGGGGGGAACCCUGACGCAGCAACGCCGCGUGCAGGAAGAAGGUCUUCGGAUUGUAAACUGUUGUCGCAGGGGAAGAAGACAGUGACGGUACCCUGUGAGAAAGUCACGGCUAACUACGUGCCAGCAGCCGCGGUAAUACGUAUGGGGCAAGCGUUAUCCGGAUUUACUGGGUGUAAAGGGAGCGCAGGCGGCGCGGCAAGUCAGAUGUGAAAGCCCGGAGCUCAACCCCGGGACUGCAUUUGAAACUGCCGUGCUGGAGUGUCGGAGAGGCAAGUGGAAUUCCUAGUGUAGCGGUGAAAUGCGUAGAUAUUAGGAGGAACACCAGUGGCGAAGGCGGCUUGCUGGACGAUAACUGACGCUGAGGCUCGAAAGCGUGGGGAGCAAACAGGAUUAGAUACCCUAGUAC
RNAcentral lists this ribosomal RNA (448 nucleotides) under uncultured bacterium. Its description in RNAcentral is "bacterial SSU rRNA". It matches the Rfam family "Bacterial small subunit ribosomal RNA", at positions 331 to 793 of the family's 1533-position model. The record is from RNAcentral.